CCCUUAGAGUUUGAUCCUGGCUCAGAAUCAACGCUGGCGGCGUGCCUAACACAUGCAAGUCGAACGCGAAAGCCCCGCAAGGGGUAAGUAGAGUGGCAAACGGGUGAGUAACACGUGGGUGACCUGCCUUCGAGUGGGGGAUAACGUCCCGAAAGGGACGCUAAUACCGCAUGACAUCCUGCCUUUGAAGAGGCGGAGAUCAAAGCUGGGGAUCGCAAGACCUGGCGCUUGAAGAGGGGCCCGCGCCUGAUUAGCUAGUUGGUGGGGUAACGGCUCACCAAGGCGACGAUCAGUAGCCGGCCUGAGAGGGCGGACGGCCACACUGGGACUGAGACACGGCCCAGACUCCUACGGGAGGCAGCAGUGGGGAAUUGUUCGCAAUGGGCGCAAGCCUGACGACGCAACGCCGCGUGGAGGAUGAAGAUCUUCGGGUCGUAAACUCCUUUCGAUCGAGACGAACGGCCCCUGGGCUAAUCACCAGGGGAGUGACGGUACCGAGAGAAGAAGCCCCGGCUAACUCCGUGCCAGCAGCCGCGGUAAUACGGGGGGGGCAAGCGUUGUUCGGAAUUACUGGGCGUAAAGGGCUCGUAGGCGGCCAACUAAGUCGGACGUGAAAUCCCUCGGCUUAACCGGGGAACUGCGUCCGAUACUGGAUGGCUUGAGUUUGGGAGAGGGAUGCGGAAUUCCAGGUGUAGCGGUGAAAUGCGUAGAUAUCUGGA
This 719-nucleotide ribosomal RNA is filed under the name uncultured bacterium. RNAcentral's name for it is "bacterial SSU rRNA". It matches the Rfam family "Bacterial small subunit ribosomal RNA", at positions 1 to 702 of the family's 1533-position model. The record is from RNAcentral.